CGAACCCGCGCGGGAGAGUCCCGGUGCCUCGUCGCACCGGGCGCCGAAGGAGCAAGUCCUCCCUUGAAUCUCUCAGGCACCAGUCACCGCGCGGGCGAG
RNAcentral lists this non-coding RNA (99 nucleotides) under Streptomyces sp. RNAcentral's name for it is "Glycine sequence". It matches the Rfam family "Glycine riboswitch aptamer". Rfam says of the family: This family represents the bacterial glycine riboswitch. Glycine riboswitches usually consist of two metabolite-binding aptamers domains with similar structures in tandem. The aptamers cooperatively bind glycine to regulate the expression of downstream genes. RNAcentral also lists the same sequence under 1 other name. Lineage: Bacteria; Bacillati; Actinomycetota; Actinomycetes; Kitasatosporales; Streptomycetaceae. The record is from RNAcentral.